This 253-nucleotide ribosomal RNA is filed under the name uncultured bacterium. Its description in RNAcentral is "partial 16S ribosomal RNA". It matches the Rfam family "Bacterial small subunit ribosomal RNA", at positions 524 to 776 of the family's 1533-position model. The record is from RNAcentral.
UACGUACUGUGCGAACGUUAUUCGGAAUUACUGGGCUUAAAGGGUGCGUAGGCGGCCAUUUAAGUAGGGUGUGAAAUGCCAGAGCUCAACUUUGGCAUUGCGCUCUAGACUGAAUGGCUUGAGUGAGAUAGGGGUGUGCGGAACUUCCAGUGGAGCGGUGAAAUGUGUUGAUAUUGGAAGGAACGCCGGUGGCGAAAGCGGCACACUGGGUCUUAACUGACGCUGAGGCACGACAGCAUGGGGAGCAAACGGG